RNAcentral lists this ribosomal RNA (253 nucleotides) under uncultured bacterium. Its description in RNAcentral is "partial 16S ribosomal RNA". It matches the Rfam family "Bacterial small subunit ribosomal RNA", at positions 524 to 776 of the family's 1533-position model. The record is from RNAcentral.
GACAGAGGGUGCAAACGUUGUUCGGAAUUACUGGGCGUAAAGCGCGUGUAGGCAGUCUCGCAAGUCGGGUGUGAAAGCCCUGGGCUCAACCUAGGAAGUGCACUCGAAACUGCGAGACUUGAGUCCUGGAGAGGAAGGCGGAAUUCUCGGUGUAGAGGUGAAAUUCGUAGAUAUCGAGAGGAACACCGGUGGCGAAGGCGGCCUUCUGGACAGUGACUGACGCUGAGACGCGAAAGCGUGGGGAGCAAACAGG